GUAUUUAGCGGAAGCUAAUGCUAAUAUGCUACAUUAACAUGGUAUUUAGCGGAAGCUAAUGUGCUACAUUAACAUGGUAUUUAGCGGAAGCUAAUGCUAAUGUGCUACAUUAACAUGGUAUUUAGCGGAAGCUAAUGCUAAUGUGCUACAUUAACAUGGUAUUUGUCCUUCGUGGUUUAGAUAUGUCCCUGAUUUUCAUGUCCUCAGCAGCCAUGAAGUUCUGCGGAGGUCCGCUCCUGAACCAGUCGUUACAUUCAGACGUAAAGCCAGUCCCGUCUGUGGAUGUUCUGAUGGAGUUUCAGCCAAUAAACAACCUUAAAUCUGGAUGUAGAGAUGGACCUGAACCUGCAGAGCCACAUAAAGACGGUUACAAAGUCGGCCUUCUAUCACCUGAAGAACAUUUCCAGGAUUAAAGGACGAAUUUCCCACAAGAUCUAGAGAAGCUCAUCCAUCUUUAGUUGCACUGAUCACUGCAACAGUGUCUACAAAUGUCAACCAGACAGCCGGCUGCCCCAGGAGACCCGUAUACAUCUCAGCGCUGCGGUAAUUUGUCUGGAAGUCGGGAAGCAGAGGAGCAGACGCCAACGGUAUGCAGCCGAUGCAGACGAGUCCAACACGGAAACUUUUUGAGUCAGUGGAGCAGCCAAAGCCGUCCGGACCUAACAGAACUAUCAGUGUCUGGAUCGGCUCGUCCUGAUCCGAACGUUUACAUCACACUGCUCUGCUGCUCAGCUCCAGGUGAGCUGAUGUCAGAUCUUAUCCUGACCAAACAGCUCAGAUAAGGAGACUUCAGACGGAGCCGAGGACACACACCUGAACUCCAAUCUGUCCAUCUUAUCUCCUCACUGAGUCCAUAAACUGCAGACAGAGACAGACUGGCUCUGUGAACCGUCUGUACAUCCAGGAUCCCAGUUUCUCAUGUAGAAAUCAGAAUUUAGAAACCACUGCUUUGGCUAAAGUUAGCCGAACAUUAGUCUGUUUCUCUGCAUCAAAACAUUCAAAUAAGUAUGAAUAUUCCAUAAAAUCAGAUGUUUUGAGUCAACGUAAAUUCACAAAACCUUCAAAUAAGGUUGAAUAUUCUGUAAACUAAUUGAUGUUUUCAGUAAAUUUAGCAUUAUUUUCA
Molecule: long non-coding RNA, 1123 nt
Organism: Poecilia latipinna (sailfin molly)
Lineage: Eukaryota; Metazoa; Chordata; Actinopteri; Cyprinodontiformes; Poeciliidae
Exons: 3
Source: RefSeq, a predicted model, not a curated record